Molecule: non-coding RNA, 23 nt
Filed under: Cricetulus griseus (Chinese hamster)
Lineage: Eukaryota; Metazoa; Chordata; Mammalia; Rodentia; Cricetidae
Source: RNAcentral
GCGGAGAGGGCCUGGCCAGCAUG